RNAcentral lists this ribosomal RNA (2907 nucleotides) under Enterobacter mori. RNAcentral's name for it is "23S ribosomal RNA". It matches the Rfam family "Bacterial large subunit ribosomal RNA". Lineage: Bacteria; Pseudomonadati; Pseudomonadota; Gammaproteobacteria; Enterobacterales; Enterobacteriaceae. The record is from RNAcentral.
GGUUAAGCGACUAAGCGUACACGGUGGAUGCCCUGGCAGUCAGAGGCGAUGAAGGACGUGCUAAUCUGCGAAAAGCGCCGGCGAGGUGAUAUGAACCUUUGACCCGGCGAUGUCCGAAUGGGGAAACCCAGUGUGUUCCGACACACUAUCGUUAACUGAAUACAUAGGUUAACGAGGCGAACCGGGGGAACUGAAACAUCUAAGUACCCCGAGGAAAAGAAAUCAACCGAGAUUCCCCCAGUAGCGGCGAGCGAACGGGGAGCAGCCCAGAGUCUGAAUCAGCUUGUGUGUUAGUGGAAGCGUCUGGAAAGUCGCAGGGUACAGGGUGAUACUCCCGUACACGAAAGCACACUUGCUGUGAACUCGAAGAGUAGGGCGGGACACGUGGUAUCCUGUCUGAAUAUGGGGGGACCAUCCUCCAAGGCUAAAUACUCCUGACUGACCGAUAGUGAACCAGUACCGUGAGGGAAAGGCGAAAAGAACCCCGGCGAGGGGAGUGAAAAAGAACCUGAAACCGUGUACGUACAAGCAGUGGGAGCCUACUUGUUAGGUGACUGCGUACCUUUUGUAUAAUGGGUCAGCGACUUAUAUUCUGUAGCAAGGUUAACCGUAUAGGGGAGCCGAAGGGAAACCGAGUCUUAACUGGGCGUUAAGUUGCAGGGUAUAGACCCGAAACCCGGUGAUCUAGCCAUGGGCAGGUUGAAGGUUGGGUAACACUAACUGGAGGACCGAACCGACUAAUGUUGAAAAAUUAGCGGAUGACUUGUGGCUGGGGGGUGAAAGGCCAAUCAAACCGGGAGAUAGCUGGUUCUCCCCGAAAGCUAUUUAGGUAGCGCCUCGUGAACUCAUCUUCGGGGGUAGAGCACUGUUUCGGCUAGGGGGCCAUCCCGGCUUACCAACCCGAUGCAAACUACGAAUACCGAAGAAUGUUAUCACGGGAGACACACGGCGGGUGCUAACGUCCGUCGUGAAGAGGGAAACAACCCAGACCGCCAGCUAAGGUCCCAAAGUCAUGGUUAAGUGGGAAACGAUGUGGGAAGGCACAGACAGCCAGGAUGUUGGCUUAGAAGCAGCCAUCAUUUAAAGAAAGCGUAAUAGCUCACUGGUCGAGUCGGCCUGCGCGGAAGAUGUAACGGGGCUAAACCAUGCACCGAAGCUGCGGCAGCGACACUAUGUGUUGUUGGGUAGGGGAGCGUUCUGUAAGCCGUUGAAGGUGGCCUGUGAGGGUUGCUGGAGGUAUCAGAAGUGCGAAUGCUGACAUAAGUAACGAUAAUGCGGGUGAAAAGCCCGCACGCCGGAAGACCAAGGGUUCCUGUCCAACGUUAAUCGGGGCAGGGUGAGUCGACCCCUAAGGCGAGGCCGAAAGGCGUAGUCGAUGGGAAACAGGUUAAUAUUCCUGUACUUGGUGUUACUGCGAAGGGGGGACGGAGAAGGCUAUGUUAGCCGGGCGACGGUUGUCCCGGUUUAAGCAUGUAGGCGGAGGUUCCAGGGUAAAUCCGGUACCUUAUUAACGCUGAGGUGUGAUGACGAGGCACUACGGUGCUGAAGUAACAAAUGCCCUGCUUCCAGGAAAAGCCUCUAAGCAUCAGGUAACACGAAAUCGUACCCCAAACCGACACAGGUGGUCAGGUAGAGAAUACCAAGGCGCUUGAGAGAACUCGGGUGAAGGAACUAGGCAAAAUGGUGCCGUAACUUCGGGAGAAGGCACGCUGAUAUGUAGGUGAAGCCCCUGCGGGUGGAGCUGAAAUCAGUCGAAGAUACCAGCUGGCUGCAACUGUUUAUUAAAAACACAGCACUGUGCAAACACGAAAGUGGACGUAUACGGUGUGACGCCUGCCCGGUGCCGGAAGGUUAAUUGAUGGGGUUAGCGGCAACGCGAAGCUCUUGAUCGAAGCCCCGGUAAACGGCGGCCGUAACUAUAACGGUCCUAAGGUAGCGAAAUUCCUUGUCGGGUAAGUUCCGACCUGCACGAAUGGCGUAAUGAUGGCCAGGCUGUCUCCACCCGAGACUCAGUGAAAUUGAACUCGCUGUGAAGAUGCAGUGUACCCGCGGCAAGACGGAAAGACCCCGUGAACCUUUACUAUAGCUUGACACUGAACACUGGUCCUUGAUGUGUAGGAUAGGUGGGAGGCUUUGAAGCGUGGACGCCAGUCUGCGUGGAGCCAACCUUGAAAUACCACCCUUUAAUGGCUGGUGUUCUAACGUAGACCCGUAAUCCGGGUUGCGGACAGUGUCUGGUGGGUAGUUUGACUGGGGCGGUCUCCUCCCAAAGAGUAACGGAGGAGCACGAAGGUUAGCUAAUCCUGGUCGGACAUCAGGAGGUUAGUGCAAUGGCAUAAGCUAGCUUGACUGCGAGAGUGACGGCUCGAGCAGGUGCGAAAGCAGGUCAUAGUGAUCCGGUGGUUCUGAAUGGAAGGGCCAUCGCUCAACGGAUAAAAGGUACUCCGGGGAUAACAGGCUGAUACCGCCCAAGAGUUCAUAUCGACGGCGGUGUUUGGCACCUCGAUGUCGGCUCAUCACAUCCUGGGGCUGAAGUAGGUCCCAAGGGUAUGGCUGUUCGCCAUUUAAAGUGGUACGCGAGCUGGGUUUAGAACGUCGUGAGACAGUUCGGUCCCUAUCUGCCGUGGGCGCUGGAGAAUUGAGGGGGGCUGCUCCUAGUACGAGAGGACCGGAGUGGACGCAUCACUGGUGUUCGGGUUGUCAUGCCAAUGGCAUUGCCCGGUAGCUAAAUGCGGAAGAGAUAAGUGCUGAAAGCAUCUAAGCACGAAACUUGCCCCGAGAUGAGUUCUCCCUGACUCCUUGAGAGUCCUGAAGGAACGUUGAAGACUACGACGUUGAUAGGUCGGGUGUGUAAGCGCAGCGAUGCGUUGAGCUAACCGAUACUAAUGAACCGUGAGGCUUAACCUU